RNAcentral lists this ribosomal RNA (253 nucleotides) under uncultured bacterium. RNAcentral's name for it is "partial 16S ribosomal RNA". It matches the Rfam family "Bacterial small subunit ribosomal RNA", at positions 524 to 776 of the family's 1533-position model. The record is from RNAcentral.
UACGUAGGCAGCAAGCGUUGUUCGGAAUUACUGGGCGUAAAGAGUGUGUAGGCGGUGCACUAAGUUUGGUGUGAAAUCUCCCGGCUCAACCGGGAGCCUGCAUUGAAUACUGGUGUGCUCGAGGGCGGGAGAGGGUAGUGGAAUUCCAUGUGUAGCGGUGAAAUGCGUAGAUAUCGGAAGGAACACCAGUGGCGAAGGCGACUUACUGGACAACAACUGACACUGAGGCACGAAAGCAUGGGGAGCAAACAGG